GAAACCAACCUUGCCACUGUACACUGGAGAAGCCUGGUUGCUUGCCUCCUACCUGCUGACUAUGGCCCCUUGUGAAUUUGUACUUUUGAAUGCAAUAUUUGGGCAUGUGGUAUUUUAUAUUGCUGCUACUGGCCCUUUAAGGGCCAUCUGUGGACAGAUUAUGACUGUUAGGAAUAAUGCCCUUUAAGACUGUGUAGCAGAUUGCAUUCAGGCUGUAUUUAAUAUUAUGUGUUCGGUAAACAGUGUUAUGUAUAUGCAGCAUUCCCCUGAUUGUUCGGUAGAAUCACUCCAUUCAUUAUACUGAGUGAAACUACCGAACAACCAGACCACCCUGGAGUAAGU
Molecule: non-coding RNA, 342 nt
Organism: Pelobates cultripes (western spadefoot toad)
Lineage: Eukaryota; Metazoa; Chordata; Amphibia; Anura; Pelobatidae
Source: the annotation of a GenBank genome assembly